Molecule: ribosomal RNA, 501 nt
Filed under: uncultured bacterium
Lineage: Bacteria
Description: bacterial SSU rRNA
Rfam family: Bacterial small subunit ribosomal RNA
Source: RNAcentral
GAGUUUGAUCGUGGCUCAGAAUGAACGUUGGCGGCGUGGAUUAGGCAUGCAAGUCGAACGAGAAGCCUCCUUCGGGAGGUGGACAGUGGCAAACGGGGUAGUAGAGCGUAGGCGACGUACCCUGGGGACCAGGAUAGCUACGGGAAACUGUAGGUAAUACUGGAUGACCUCUUUUCGCAUGAUCGCGGGAAGAGCAAAGGUGAGAUUCCACCCUGGGAGCGGCUUGCGUAGUAUUAGCUAGUUGGUGAGGUAACGGCUCACCAAGGCGACGAUGCUUAGGGGGUGUUAGCGCAUGACCCCCACACUGGGACUGAGAUACUGCCCAGACACCUACGGGUGGCUGCAGUCGAGGAUCUUCGGCAAUGGGCGAAAGCCUGACCGAGCGACGCCGCGUGCGGGAUGAAGGCCCUUGGGUUGUAAACCGCUGUCAGAGGGAUGAAAUGCCAGAGAGUUCUCUCUUUGGUUGACAUAGCUACAGAGGAAGCACGGGCUAAGUUCGUG